AGAAUGACUCUCGGCAACGGAUAUCUAGGCUCUUGCAUCGAUGAAGAACGUAGCGAAAUGCGAUACUUGGUGUGAAUUGCAGAAUCCCGUGAACCAUCGAGUCUUUGAACGCAAGUUGCGCCUGAAGCCAUUAGGUUGAGGGCACGUCUGCCUGGGUGUCACAGA
This 165-nucleotide ribosomal RNA is filed under the name Wisteria floribunda (Japanese wisteria). Its description in RNAcentral is "5.8S ribosomal RNA". It matches the Rfam family "5.8S ribosomal RNA". From Rfam's summary of the family: 5.8S ribosomal RNA (5.8S rRNA) is a component of the large subunit of the eukaryotic ribosome. It is transcribed by RNA polymerase I as part of the 45S precursor that also contains 18S and 28S rRNA. The record is from RNAcentral. Lineage: Eukaryota; Viridiplantae; Streptophyta; Magnoliopsida; Fabales; Fabaceae. RNAcentral also lists the same sequence under 1 other name.